GUGUCAUCUUUGUACCACAAAGAUCUUAUUUAUUUAUUUAUUUAUUUUGGGGGGGGGGGGGAAGGGGAGGGCAGCGAUGGUAGUGCUAAUGGCAUUCAGUGUACUCUUUGCAAAGCUAUGGCAAGACUGUAAUCAAAAUAAGAGGUCUUUAUGGAAAUAGUUUGAGAUGUGUUUGCAUUAGUAAAUCAGGGUGUAUUUUAUUUCAUUUUCAUUUUAUAGUCUUAAUUAUUUUUCCUUCAGUAUUUGCUCCAAAGCUUUCCAUGAUCUUAUGGUAAGACUAGUCCCAUGUAAUUUACCCGUUGUAUGAUGUUUGGACUAAGUCUUAAGCAAAAAGCACAAUUUUAAAAUAUGUGCCUUCUACAUGAAUCUACAGCACUCACAUGGGCAAAACUGUAUAACAAGGAAAGAAGCAGAGAAAUUCUUCCAAGACUAGACUGGCAAUAGUCUGUGAUCUCUGCUGUAGUUUGUGUCUGUCCACCCACUUUGUCUUCCAAAGCAGCAGAAGUCUGUUCAAAUGGAAAAUACAGACAGUUCCAGAGAUUGUAGCUUCAAUCAUUUCAUUGCCAUUCACAUUGCCUUCAGUCUUCAUAUUCUCACAACUUGCCUGUUGAGUACAAUCCAGUCAAAGAAGCCAUGUUUUCAGGACGAACUGACUGGAAGAGCAUCAGAAGGAUUCACUCAUACCUCACCUAUAAAUCCUCUUUAAGCAAGACCUCUCAUCGAGUUCUUAUCUGGGGAGGAGAGACCAGGACAUACACUGUACAGAUACUUCUGCUUUCAGGGGCACGUACAAACUAGCCAUGCAGCUAUGCCGAUGUGACUUACAUGAUUAAAAUGUUUCUGCUAAUGUGUGUGCUGGCUUUUUUGUGUGUUGUGAGAUGUGAAAUGCUAUUGGCUUGAGGCCUACAAGAUGGGCUCCAUGCAGGUAUUCAUAAGGCAGGGCUUGCUGCUUACCAGAACUCAUGGAGAUUUCAGGGCCUCCAAAUGCCAUGUGUGGGGUACAGAGAAGCUUCAAAUCAAACAACAAAAAUCCAUCAAACAACUCUACUUAUUAGUCUAAAUUCCUCUGCCUCCAACUCCUGCA
RNAcentral lists this long non-coding RNA (1084 nucleotides) under Anas platyrhynchos platyrhynchos (common mallard). RNAcentral's name for it is "lncRNA (ENSAPLG00000027197.1)". The record is from RNAcentral. Lineage: Eukaryota; Metazoa; Chordata; Aves; Anseriformes; Anatidae.